Molecule: ribosomal RNA, 315 nt
Filed under: uncultured eukaryote
Lineage: Eukaryota
Description: partial 18S ribosomal RNA
Rfam family: Eukaryotic small subunit ribosomal RNA
Source: RNAcentral
CCCCUAGACGUUCUGGGCCGCACGCGCGCUACACUGACCAGUGCAACAAGCAUCCGUCCUUGGCCGACAGGCUCGGGCAAUCUUUGAACGCUGGUCGUGAUGGGGAUAGACUUUUGCAAUUUUUGGUCUUCAACGAGGAAUUCCUAGUAAACGCAAGUCAUCAACUUGCAUUGAUUACGUCCCUGCCCUUUGUACACACCGCCCGUCGCACCUACCGAUUGAAUGGUCCGGUGAAGCCUCCGGAUUGGCGCGCACCUCGGUGCCGCCGAGAAGUUGGCUAAACCUUNCNAUUUAUNGGAAGGUGAANUCGUANCA